This 1033-nucleotide long non-coding RNA is filed under the name Heterocephalus glaber (naked mole-rat). Its description in RNAcentral is "lncRNA (ENSHGLG00100048808.1)". The record is from RNAcentral. Lineage: Eukaryota; Metazoa; Chordata; Mammalia; Rodentia; Bathyergidae.
CGCGGAUGUUGUUGGGGUUCGCACGGCGUCCUCCGGGGUUGGACAGCAGGAUGUUCUGCGGCUUCAGGUCACGGUGAAUGAUGCCCUUGCUGUGCAGCAGGCGCAUAGCACCCGCGAUCUGCUGCAGGAAGAGCCUGAUGGUGUCCUCGCUCAGGGUCCGCAUGGCUACAGGAAAGGCAGGCUCAGGGGCGCCUGUCACAGCCCGACAGGUGGUGUGGCAGCUCGGGGGAUGGCAGCGCCCUCUUGGGGACCCGCUUCCUCUCCGGCAGCCCCGAAGGUUCAGUGGCAAGGGGGGAGGGGGGCACGACCCAGCACCCCCAGCAGAGGGAGGCAGCCUCAGAGCAGAGAAAGCCACCCAGGCUCCUUCCCGAGUCAGGUACGGGAAUGCUCACCGGGCCGGGGCCCUGCGGUGGGUGCUGGAAUGCAGGCCACAGGAGCAGCAAGCCCACCACAGCCCCCAGUCAUCAAGCACGGGUCGGAGGUGCUCUGCUGCCACAGCCCGAGGACCAGGACAGAUGGUGACACCCGCCUUCGGCUGUGCAGGCCAGAGUCUCCCCAACCCUGCCUGCCCCCACUUCCCGACACCCCACGGGUCCUGCAGCACUGCCUGCCACCCCAUUUGCCGUGUUCCUAUUUCCAGGUACAGGGUGCCCUCUCGGCCGCCACACAGCCACCCAAGUGCCUACCCUCACUACAACUCUGCUUCCUCACCCCUGACGCAGCCCACAGCCAUCCUGGAGCACGUGGGACCUGCACUAAGUCCUGGAGUGGGCAGGUGGCAGGCAGCAUCCACCGUGGCAGAGUCCCUCCCAUCUACCUCGGGGCACCAAGAGACAGGCCCCAUGCCCCCGGCCAGCAAGAGCCACUUCAGCAACCCCUCCUGGCUAGCGCGCUGCCCACUGAGGUGUCCACUCACUGUGUAGGUAGUCAGCUAGGUCACCACCAUUGCAGUACUGAAGAAGACAGGAUGCGCGUCAGGGCACAGGCACAGCCAGCCCCAGGCCCAGGCCCAGCCCCAGGCCCAGGCCCAGGC